RNAcentral lists this ribosomal RNA (247 nucleotides) under uncultured Peptostreptococcus sp. RNAcentral describes it as "partial 16S ribosomal RNA". It matches the Rfam family "Bacterial small subunit ribosomal RNA", at positions 109 to 355 of the family's 1533-position model. Lineage: Bacteria; Bacillati; Bacillota; Clostridia; Peptostreptococcales; Peptostreptococcaceae. The record is from RNAcentral.
AGUAACGCGUGGGUAACCUGCCCUAUACACAUGGAUAACAUACUGAAAAGUUUACUAAUACAUGAUAAUAUAUAUUUACGGCAUCGUAGAUAUACCAAAGUGUUAGCGGUAUAGGAUGGACCCGCGUCUGAUUAGCUAGUUGGUGAGAUAACUGCCCACCAAGGCGACGAUCAGUAGCCGACCUGAGAGGGUGAUCGGCCACAUUGGAACUGAGACACGGUCCAAACUCCUACGGGAGGCAGCAGCC